This 74-nucleotide transfer RNA is filed under the name Candidatus Omnitrophota bacterium. RNAcentral describes it as "tRNA-Arg". It matches the Rfam family "tRNA". From Rfam's summary of the family: Transfer RNA (tRNA) molecules are approximately 80 nucleotides in length. Their secondary structure includes four short double-helical elements and three loops (D, anti-codon, and T loops). Lineage: Bacteria; Pseudomonadati; Candidatus Omnitrophota. The record is from RNAcentral.
GCGCCCAUAGCUCAACUGGAUAGAGCGUCAGUCUACGGAACUGAAGGUUGCUGGUUCGACCCCAGCUGGGCGCA